AUUGAACGCUGGCGGCAGGCCUAACACAUGCAAGUCGAGCGGAUGAAGGGAGCUUGCUCCUGGAUUCAGCGGCGGACGGGUGAGUAAUGCCUAGGAAUCUGCCUGGUAGUGGGGGAUAACGUCCGGAGACGGGCGCUAAUACCGCAUACGUCCUGAGGGAGAAAGUGGGGGAUCUUCGGACCUCACGCUAUCAGAUGAGCCUAGGUCGGAUUAGCUAGUUGGUGGGGUAAAGGCCUACCAAGGCGACGAUCCGUAACUGGUCUGAGAGGAUGAUCAGUCACACUGGAACUGAGACACGGUCCAGGCUCCUACGGGAGGCAGCAGUGGGGAAUAUUGGACAAUGGGCGAAAGCCUGAUCCAGCCAUGCCGCGUGUGUGAAGAAGGUCUUCGGAUUGUAAAGCACUUUAAGUUGGGAGGAAGGGCAGUAAGUUAAUACCUUGCUGUUUUGACGUUACCAACAGAAUAAGCACCGGCUAACUUCGUG
Molecule: ribosomal RNA, 484 nt
Filed under: uncultured bacterium
Lineage: Bacteria
Description: partial 16S ribosomal RNA
Rfam family: Bacterial small subunit ribosomal RNA
Source: RNAcentral